GCCAGACUCCUACGGGAGGCAGCAGUGGGGAAUAUUGCACAACGGGGGAAACCCUGAUGCAGCGACGCCGCGUGAAGGAAGAAGGCUUUCGGGUUGUAAACUUCUUUUCUCAGGGACGAAGCAAGUGACGGUACCUGAGGAAUAAGCCACGGCUAACUACGUGCCAGCAGCCGCGGUAAUACGUAGGUGGCAAGCGUUAUCCGGAUUUACUGGGUGUAAAGGGAGCGUAGACGGAGAAGCAAGUCUGAAGUGAAAGCCCGUGGCUUAACCACGGGACUGCUUUGGAAACUGUUUGACUAGAGUGCUGGAGAGGUAAGUGGAAUUCCUAGUGUAGCGGUGAAAUGCGUAGAUAUUAGGAGGAACACCAGUGGCGAAGGCGGCUUACUGGACAGUAACUGACGUUGAGGCUCGAAAGCGUGGGGAGCAAACAGGAUUAGAUACCCGAGUA
This 448-nucleotide ribosomal RNA is filed under the name uncultured bacterium. RNAcentral describes it as "bacterial SSU rRNA". It matches the Rfam family "Bacterial small subunit ribosomal RNA", at positions 330 to 792 of the family's 1533-position model. The record is from RNAcentral.